RNAcentral lists this ribosomal RNA (646 nucleotides) under Drosophila mediopictoides. Its description in RNAcentral is "partial 16S ribosomal RNA". Lineage: Eukaryota; Metazoa; Arthropoda; Insecta; Diptera; Drosophilidae. The record is from RNAcentral.
UUAAAUUUUAUUUAUUUAUUUAUUUAAUUUUAAAUUGUAAAAUAUUAAAAAUAAUUAUAAAUUAAAAAGUUUUAGUAUUGUUUAAAGAAAAAAUAAAUUUAAUUAUAGAGAAUUAGUAUUGUAAAAGAAAAUUGAAAUAAUUUGAAAAAUUAUUAUUAAAAAAGAAAAUUUAAUUUAUUGUACCUUGUGUAUCAGUGUUUAUUAAAUAAAAAAUAUUUAUAUAUUUUUCUCGAUUUUAAAAGAGUUAAUAUAAUAUAAAAGUUAAUGUAAUAAAAUUAUUUUUCAUAUUAUAUUAGAAAUGAAAUGUUAUUCGUUUUUAAAGGUAUCUAGUUUUUCAAGAAAUAAAUUUAAUUUAGAAAUUAUAAAUUUAUUUAAAAAAUUUUAUUAGUUAAAUAAUUUAUGAUUUUAAUAUUUUAUGGGAUAAGCUAUAAAAUAAAUUUUUAAAAAUAAUAAAAAAAUUUAAUAAAUAUAUGUUUAGAAUUAGCAAUUAUUAAUAAAUAUGUUAUAAUUUAUUUUAUAAUAUAAAUUAUUUAUUAUAUUUUAAGUAUUUAUUGAAAUAUUAAUUUUAAUUUUUUAAAUUAAUUAAUAAUGAUAAAAUUAGUAUAUUUUUAUGUUAAAUAAAUUUAAAUGAUAAGUUAAAAUAAAG